CAGUCGCCGCGGUAAGACAGAGGGUGUAAGCGUUAUCCAGAAUGAUUGGGCGUAAAGCAUCUGUAGGUGGCUUUUCAAGUCCGCCAUCAAAUCCCCGGGCUCAACCCUCGACAGGCAGUGGAAAAUACCAAGCUGGAGUACGGUAGGGGCAGAGGGGGGUGGAAUUCCACGUGUAGCAGUGAAAUGCGUAGAGAUGUGGAGGAACACCGAUGGCGAAGGCAGCCCCCUGGGCCAAUACUGACGCUCAUGCACGAAAGCGUGGGGAGCAAACAGGAUUAGAUACCCCCGUAGUCCCUGUCUU
This 301-nucleotide ribosomal RNA is filed under the name uncultured bacterium. RNAcentral describes it as "partial 16S ribosomal RNA". It matches the Rfam family "Bacterial small subunit ribosomal RNA", at positions 509 to 803 of the family's 1533-position model. The record is from RNAcentral.